Xyrichtys novacula (pearly razorfish) is the source of this 4356-nucleotide non-coding RNA. The record is from the annotation of a GenBank genome assembly. Lineage: Eukaryota; Metazoa; Chordata; Actinopteri; Labriformes; Labridae.
AAAUAGGACUUAAGAGCUUGGGAAUUGGGAUGGGAAUUUUACGAUUUUUUGUGUAAUACACAGCAUUCAUAAAACUGACAAAACUGUCAUAAGUAUCACAACUCAAGCAGCACUACAUAAAAGACAGAAGGAGUAUUGGAAUAAGUCAUGCAAAAAUCUAAAACAACAAAGAAACUGCAGUUUGGUUGGACAAUGUCACCAAAGGUACAUUUUUGGUAUUUAGUUUAAAUAAGAUAGAAUUUUUGAUUGAUCCUAAGGGAAACCAGUGCACAGGGUUUGCAAAUCAAAUAUCCAUGACAUACAGUAGCAGCUGAGUCUUUAGGGACCCAAGGUGGAAACCAAAGCAUUGCAGAUUCAAAUCAGGGUAUGCACUAAUGCUGGGCCAGUAGCUGGAGAGGUGCUGGUUUAACUCUUUAGCAAAAGCACCAAACCCCUUUCAGUGUUCUCACUCUGUUAUCUCCUUGUUACUGUAUCUUCAUUAGGUCCUGUUCAUAAAUAUGGAUCAUGUUCAUAACAAGGUGAGAGAAACUGUCUCAAUAAAGUAUGUCUUAACUUAUGUGAAGAUCAGCGGUCAGUCUAAAUUGUACUUCUACACUUGACUCUCAUAUCUGUUGCUUUGUUGACCUGCUGACCCGAUGUCUCUCCUCACUUCAGCCCACACUCCUUUCACUGUCAUGCUCUCUCUCUUGCAGCUGCCUUGCUGCCUCAUUCUCCUGCAGGUCGGAGAAGAAAAAAAAACACAACCCAGAGCCCGUGGGCAUGACUGGCUGCUUCAAAUCGGAUUUUAGAUGUUGGUGAAGAAGUUUGCCCGGGUAAGACAGGGGAAAGAAUUACUCAUUGAGGCCAGGAAUGCACACAAACACACAAUCUCUAGACUUCAUUAUUAGACCUGACUGGAUUUAUGUGCAUGUUGGUAUUGUCAGGACUGUCCUCAGGCAGCUUGAGCGUUAUCUUCCCGUACAAGCUGAUACACUAUCUCAUCCCAAACAUGAACAGCUCAGCCUUCGCUUCAUGGAGUUUUCUUUGUUGCGCGGAUGCAGACUUUAACUGAUAUGAGCAACCAUGUGGGAGAGUUUGAGAUAAAGGAACAAAGAGGAGGAAAUACCCUGAAACUAACAGGGGCAGCGCUGGGUAUGAAGGUGUCACUGUUACAACAAAUGACCAGUGUUAGAGCCCCCAUAUUCUCAAGUCUCAGACAACAAGAACUAGUGAAUCACAUCCAGGGUAUCUCACUCUUUCUGUAAAUGUUAUCUGUGAUCAUUAUUGUUUGGCACACUUUCUUCCCAUCAGUACCCACCACCUUUUCUCUUCCCCUAAACCUCUUCUGAGAGGGGGAAAAUAAACAGAGGCUCAUAGUUCCAGUAGCAGCGCAGCCAGUUUCCUGCCCGUCACUUCUGCAGCCUCUUUACCUUUUACAGAUUCAUUUCCUGCCUCUUGCAUCACUUCCUGUGGCACAAUGUGAAUGAACUCCAAGGAUAGUAUAUGUCCUGAAGUUACAUUUGGGGAACCAGUGUGUCUGGUAUCAGCAAAACUGUUUACAUCAGAUUCUUUCCACUGAGUCAGUCACACUCAAAUUAGAAAGGCUUAUUUAAAACGCAGGUUUCCUGAAUAAAAUACAGGAACUGGAUGAUUUUCCUUUCCCUUUUUACCUCUGGAAAAAAAAAAACCUAAACCUUCAUUACAUCACUCAUCUAAAAGCCUGAUUUGGAUGUUUCUGAGGGGCUUUUUCCCUUUAAUUCCAUUUAUGAGCUUUAACUUUGGGACUGCACUGAGUUGAAGUUUAAAUUGGUGAUGGGAAUUACGGCUGUUUUUAGUGAGCCAGAUCAUUCGGCUCAGCUCACCAAGAAAAGGCUCACAAAUGGCUCUUCAUUUUACCACUUAUACAUUAUACAUUGUGGGGGAAAAAAAGAGAGAGAAAAAAGAAGAAAAAAAAAACAGCUCACAGACAGGAGCCGGCUCCCAUCGUUCACAGCUCUUUGAACCGGUUCGUUCGCGACCGACACAUCACUUGUUUAAAUGACAGCUUUAAUAAGAGUUAGCUUGUCAGAUACCAAGGAGAGACUGGAUCUACUGACUCCAUCCUCACUCCUAAAACACUUUAUUUUAACAGAAUAGGGUGUUUCAUUUCUACUGAUGUGAAAGAUGUUUGCAGCAUGACACCUUGAAGUCAUUUUGACAAAAGAAUCAGAUCUUUCUGUAAACUGCACCUCUGGCCAUAUUUACAGUAAACUGAAUAAUCCUGUAUGUGUAAGGGGAUCAUUUCCUAAUCCUUGCAUUUCCUUGGCCUUAAAACUCAGAGAUAAGUUUGUCUAGACACAGCCUUAAAGCAGGGUGUUCUCCUUUUGGAGGAUUGGAGGACAGGAGGCCAUAGAGAGGACACCGCACCUCCUGACCCCUUUACAUCAAGACAACCACUGGCGGCUUGUUUUAGUGCACUUGAUACUUGGCUCAGCAUUUGAGUCUAAAUCAAAGAAAAAGACAAAAACCACAUGAAUGAGGGGCUGGAGUUGCUCAUUUCAAAAAAAAAAAAAAAAAAAAAAACAAUUGUAAAAAAAAGUAUAGAAAUGGGGGGGGGGGGGGGGGGUACAUUUAACCAUAUUUCAAACACUUGAAUAAUGUCAAAUUCAAAGAUUAAAAAUAAACACCUGUAAUAGAAAGUGUUGUUCCCUGCUGUGAUAAAUAAGUGUUAGAGGACAGUACAACAAACACAAAUAAGCACUGUCAUUAUCAUCAUCACUAAAAUAAACAAGUUUCCUCUUAUUCCGGUCUAAAUUCUGAAAAACGACCACCAUCUGUCCCAGCCCACAGAUCUCCCUAAACAGAUAAUCCUCAAUCCCCUCCAAAGGACAGAAAAAUAGAGUCACAGUUGCAUUCAAAGGCCACAAGGGGGCCUUGAAUGGCACUCGUUAGGUUUUAAAUGACAAAUGCAGUCAUCCUCAGAUCCAGCUUUUUUGCUGAGUUUAAUUCAUUUUAUCCCCAUCAGCUGGAUUUAGAGGGAUUUGUGGAAAUGAUACUGAUGCAACUUGAGCUCCAUAUAUGAAAAAACAAGUCUGACUGAGAGGAAGAGUGUGUGUUACUUUGAAACCUCAAAAAGGUUGUGUUUAAGUGUAAUCUGAUGCAAAGCACUUUUAGUGAGGUGAGUGGAAGAAAAUGGGAAGAUUGGAAAACAGGGUCAAACUUAUACAUGGACAAAACUGUCUCAUUGGACAGAUGUGUCUUUAUUUGUUCAACAAACAGGCCAAGAGGUCAAAUGUUUCUGGUACAUGCAGCUGUGGUGUUCAUGUACAGUAAGGCAGGUCUAAGGACUGUUUAAUGAUAAAGGUGAUGAAAAAGCAGGCAUCAGAUUCACAGCUGUUCAUUCCAGGCUGACAUCCUCUCACACACACACAUACACACUGAAACCACUGGACGCAGAUGUAAAGAGUCCAAGAGGGGCAGGCUAAGAGAAAAAGUAGUACCGAGAGUUUGAAACAGCCUUCCAGAGUCAUGGGCUGAAGUCAAAAACAGGCUGAAAACAGACCCCUGACAUUAAAUUAGACAAACUCUGCCUCCUAAUUGGAUGUCUGCCUCAUGCUCCUGAUAAACCUCAUCAGUCUCUAUUGUUCCGUUAACCCCUGCUCAGCCGCACUCAUCCAACGUCAUGAUGCAAAGUGCUGCUGACAGGAAGGGCUUUGACCACACGGGCUGACCUUUGACCUCUGUGUAACAACGCCCUCCCGGCUCCUCCUCUAACGCUGCCCCCCCCGCCAUCUGCGUUCAUUCUUUCACUGAAGUACAUCGAGGUUGAGGUCCACGGAGGUUGUCCUGAGCAGAACAGGAGCUGUUUACUUCCUAGAGAUGGGUGUCCUAGUUUCAUUCACAGGACAAUCUGCCUAUUGUGCGCCUGCAGGCAUCUACCAAUUGGUUCUCCACAGGCUGACAAUCCAAUAGAGGCUGAAUUAAGAACAUGAGCCCUGUGCUAACAUCCUCCACACGCAAAGACACGCUUCUUCACCCAUGAGGAGAAGAACAACAAGAUGACAAGAUACGUCCAAACUAUAUGUGAAUUUUAAAAAAGUAUUUGACUGCAUGUUUUGUUUUUGUUUUUUUAUUCCUGUGUUUGAAAAGUUAUCAAAUUAAAAUGAGGAAGAAAAUUAAGAGAUAAAUCUGUUGAAUUGUCCGUCAGUUGGUCUGGAUAGAUUGCUGUGAAGUUGCAAACACAAGUUUUUGCCUUUAUGAUUUUUUUUUUUAUCACAUUAACUUUAAUUUGGCACAAUAAGAAACACACAUUUGUCCGAUGCAGUCGGUAAAAGACACUUGCAAACUCACUGAUGAUAUUAAUUAGGGGUAGGAGAAAAAAAUCAAUACAGCAUAGUA